This 483-nucleotide ribosomal RNA is filed under the name uncultured bacterium. RNAcentral describes it as "partial 16S ribosomal RNA". It matches the Rfam family "Bacterial small subunit ribosomal RNA", at positions 29 to 507 of the family's 1533-position model. The record is from RNAcentral.
UUGAACGCUGGCGGCAUGCUUUACACAUGCAAGUCGAACGGCAGCGCGGGCUUCGGCCUGGCGGCGAGUGGCGAACGGGUGAGUAAUACAUCGGAACGUGCCCAGUAGUGGGGGAUAGCUCGGCGAAAGCCGGAUUAAUACCUCAUACGACCUGAGGGUGAAAGCGGGGGAUCUUCGGACCUCGCGCUAUUGGAGCGGCCGAUGGCAGAUUAGCUAGUUGGUGGGGUAAAGGCCUACCAAGGCGACGAUCUGUAGCUGGUCGGAGAGGACGACCAGCCGCCCUGGAACUGGGACACGGCCCAGACUCCUGCGGGAGGCAGCAGUGGGGAAUUUUGGACAAUGGGCGGAAGCCUGAUCCAGCAAUGCCGCGUGUGUGAUGAAGGCCUUCGGGUUGUAAAGCACUUUUGGCGGGAACGAAAAGGACUGUGCCAAUACCACGGUUCGAUGACGGUACCCGCAGAAUAAGCACCGGCUAACUACGUG